This 274-nucleotide ribosomal RNA is filed under the name uncultured Lactobacillales bacterium. RNAcentral's name for it is "partial 16S ribosomal RNA". It matches the Rfam family "Bacterial small subunit ribosomal RNA", at positions 75 to 339 of the family's 1533-position model. The record is from RNAcentral. Lineage: Bacteria; Bacillati; Bacillota; Bacilli; Lactobacillales.
AUUGAUAACAUUUGAGUGAGUGGCGGACGGGUGGAGUAACACGUGGGUAACCUGCCCUAAAUGGGGGGAGUAACAUUUGGAAACAGAUGCUAAUACCGCAUAAAACCUAAGCACCGCAUGGUGCAAGGUUGAAAGAUGGUUUCGGCUAUCACUUUAGGAUGGACCCGCGGUGCAUUAGUUAGUUGGUGAGGCAAGGGGCUCACCAAGACCGUGAUGCAUAGCCGACCUGAGAGGGUAAUCGGCCACACUGGGACUGAGACACGGCCCAGACUCC